CCAGAACGGGUCCGACGGCAAGGGACGAAAGAUAGGGGCACGAACCGGAUUAGAUACCCGGGUAGUCCUAGCCGUAAACGAUACUCGCUAGGUGUCGGCCCCGGUGCGACCGUGGUCGGCGCCGUAGGGAAGCCGUGAAGCGAGCCACCUGGGAAGUACGGCCGCAAGGCUGAAACUUAAAGGAAUUGGCGGGGGAGCACUACAACGGGUGGAGCCUGCGGUUUAAUUGGAUUCAACGCCGGAAAUCUCACCGGGGGCGACAGCAUGAUGAAGGCCAGGCUGAAGACCUUGCCUGAUCCGCUGAGAGGUGGUGCAUGGCCGUCGUCAGUUCGUACUGUGAAGCAUCCUGUUAAGUCCGGCAACGAGCGAGACCCACGCCCACAGUUGCCAGCGAGCCCUUCGGGGUGGCGGGUACUCUGUGGGGACCGCCGCUGCUAAAGCGGAGGAAGGAAUGGGCAACGGUAGGUCAGUAUGCCCCGAAUCUCCCGGGCUACACGCGGGCUACAAUGGUCGGUACAAUGGGUAUCUACCCCGAGAGGGGAUGGAAAUCUCCUAAAACCGGUCGUAGUUCGGAUUGAGGGCUGCAACUCGCCCUCAUGAAGCUGGAAUCCGUAGUAAUCGCGUUUCAACAGAACGCGGUGAAUACGUCCCUGCUCCUUGCACACACCGCCCGUCAAACCACCCGAGUAGGGUCUGGAUAAGGGUGCGCCAUGUUGACGCAUUCGAAUCUGGGCUUUGCAAGGGGGGUUAAGUCGUAACAAGGUAACCAAGGGCGAAU
This 778-nucleotide ribosomal RNA is filed under the name uncultured archaeon. Its description in RNAcentral is "bacterial SSU rRNA". It matches the Rfam family "Archaeal small subunit ribosomal RNA", at positions 680 to 1458 of the family's 1478-position model. The record is from RNAcentral.